RNAcentral lists this ribosomal RNA (464 nucleotides) under uncultured Acholeplasma sp. RNAcentral's name for it is "bacterial SSU rRNA". It matches the Rfam family "Bacterial small subunit ribosomal RNA", at positions 916 to 1381 of the family's 1533-position model. Lineage: Bacteria; Bacillati; Mycoplasmatota; Mollicutes; Acholeplasmatales; Acholeplasmataceae. The record is from RNAcentral.
ACGGACCCCGCACAAGCGGUGGAUCAUGUUGUUUAAUUCGAUGAUACGCGAAGAACCUUACCAGGUCUUGACAUCCCCUGCAAAGCUAUGGAGACAUAGUGGAGGUUAUCAGGGAGACAGGUGGUGCAUGGUUGUCGUCAGCUCGUGUCGUGAGAUGUUGGGUUAAGUCCCGCAACGAGCGCAACCCUUAUUGCUAGUUACCAUCAUUCAGUUUGGGGACUCUAGCGAGACUGCCAGUGAUAAACUGGAGGAAGGUGGGGAUGACGUCAAAUCAUCAUGCCCCUUAUGACCUGGGCUACAAACGUGAUACAAUGGCUGAAACAAAGGGCAGCGAAGCAGUGAUGUGGAGCGAAACCCAAAAAAGCAGUCUCAGUUCGGAUUGAAGUCUGCAACUCGACUUCAUGAAGUCGGAAUCGCUAGUAAUCGCGGAUCAGAACGCCGCGGUGAAUACGUUCUCGGGGUUU